CUCCUAUUUCUGAUGGACUGUUGUCUGUUCCUCAAGGGAAUCCUCCUGCUAGCCAUCAUUCUGUUGCAAGAAUAGAUGGCCAGAGCUCUGUGAUACCAGGGUUGAGCGGACAAGAUUAUGACCAGUUGAUGGACUUGUUACACCAGACCAAGUUAAGGGAAUCCACUGCUCAAACUCCUCUUCCCAUAUAUGCUGCAAACUUUGC
This 205-nucleotide long non-coding RNA is filed under the name Nicotiana benthamiana. RNAcentral describes it as "long non-coding RNA (NBEN_LNC001618)". The record is from RNAcentral. Lineage: Eukaryota; Viridiplantae; Streptophyta; Magnoliopsida; Solanales; Solanaceae.